Pantherophis guttatus is the source of this 443-nucleotide long non-coding RNA. RefSeq lists it as uncharacterized. The record is from RefSeq and is a predicted model, not a curated record. Lineage: Eukaryota; Metazoa; Chordata; Lepidosauria; Squamata; Colubridae.
AGUUGCGGGAGGCUCCGCCCACCCGCCUGGAUGUGAUCCAGGAUGUCAUCACAUCCCAUUUUUGAUGCUCUGUGCAUGUGCAGAAGACUGCGCAUGCGUGGCAGUGUGAAUGGAAGCACGCCAAUCUGAGGAUCAACCACUACAGUGUGCAGAACAAAAGAUGAGAAUAAAGUUGGUGCUUUGUACAUACGAGAUCUUCAAUUCAAACAAUGACUUAUCCAGAAGACUCCACACUCUGCGACUGGAUUCUAUACAGUACAGUUUCUUCAGGAACAUUUUUUUUUCCUAAGAAGGAAGAUCACUUGCUUAGCUUUGUAUGAUCAUGCCUUUUAACCGUCACAAGAGGGAGGCAACUGACAAAACAUGCAACGUGACACAAAUACCCUGCUGUGUAUUUAAGUGCAGUGCUUAAAAAGAAGUAUACAGGUUGAUUUGGCUUUCUA